RNAcentral lists this ribosomal RNA (292 nucleotides) under uncultured bacterium. RNAcentral's name for it is "partial 16S ribosomal RNA". The record is from RNAcentral.
GGACUACCAGGGUAUCUAAUCCUGUUUGCUCCCCACGCUUUCGUGUCUCAGCGUCAGUACUCGUCCAGUUGGCCGCCUUCGCCACCGGUGUUCCUCUCGAUAUCUACGAAUUUCACCUCUACACCGAGAAUUCCGCCAACCUCUCCGGUACUCGAGCCAUGCAGUAUCGGGUGCACUUCCCGGGUUGAGCCCGGGGCUUUCACAUCCGACUUUCACGGCAGCCUACACACGCUUUACGCCCAGUAAUUCCGAACAACGUUUGCACCCUCUGUCUUACCGCGGCGGCUGGCAC